This is a long non-coding RNA of Macaca mulatta (Rhesus monkey), 2108 nucleotides long. The record is from Ensembl. NCBI's taxonomy places the organism in Eukaryota, Metazoa, Chordata, Mammalia, Primates, Cercopithecidae.
UUUUUAGCUCUUUCUGCUUGCCGGCUCUGCAGCCAAGAUGGGAGGGAGGCCAUUUCCUUUCUGCUGAGAGCAGGUCAGCAACGAAGCUCCGGAGAGUGCAGCCCUUUCGCUGGCUGGGCGGAAUCUGCAGGAGAAUGCCUGGUCCCCUAGUAAGGUGGCCCCUCCAGGAGCAGGGUGGCCAGCCCCAGAGCCUUCUACCACCUGGAGACAAACCCUGAACCUGGAAAGUGAGAGGCGGGGCCAGGCCAUUUGCUAGUAGAGAAACGUAGGAAAGUUCCUUUUCUGUGUGUGUUUUCUCUUGACUUUAAAAAAUCAUAAGCUUGCCCAUGGAGUUUUUGUGAGAGGAGAGAUUUGAGCAACUCUGUGCCUGCCUCCUGGAUCCUUAGCUGGUCAUUUUGUGCUCUGUCAUCAGAAAAGGAAGAUGUCAAAUCACUGUCACUGGAUUUGACCAAUGGAAUUUUUGAAAACGUUUUCCAUUUUCUCAUGGUUUUGAAAAAUCUAUACUUACCAAGAAUUUGGCUUUAAGUUGUUUUGUUGUUUGCAACUUUCUUUUGUUCUCUGUUUCAUUUAUCAACCUAUAGAAACAGGUCAAAAAUUAAAUGACUCCUUAUACAAGGCAAUUAAAGACAUGAAUGUGGGUGACGCACCCUGGACGCAGAGAGCCUUUACCAUUCUCUGGGAGGAAGGAAGACGCGUGGGUGUGGCGGAGGUGAGGUGGCCAGGCCGCUGCUCCCUACGCACUGGGCUCCGUGCUCUGGGUGGGGCAAUGUCAGGGUUCUGCGCCCUCGCCCGGCGGCCUUCCAGACCUGACGCCCUAUUCGGAGCAGCAAAAUGGAAUCCUUAAGCCUGAGAAAAAGAUAGGACUCAUCAGCGGAUCUAAAAGCUGGUGCCUUGCUUUCAGAUGCUUUGCAGCUGUGACUGCUUGCGGAGUCCUUCCUUUGAGCCAUUGCCCCCUGCUGUUAUUUUGCCACCUCAUCCAAGAUGCCAAGAACUCUCAGGACAAGGCUCAAGAUAAAAAUAAAAGAUCAGAGCUAAACACACACACACACAGGCACACACGUGAGUGUGCACACAACUCCAAAACCUCCGGGAUUGACUCUGAAGAUGCAGGCAGAGGUGUAUUUGUACGGAGAGGCAUGGAUGUUGAACUGAGCAGCACCUCCUGUCCUGUGAUCUGGCCAUUUGUCCUGAAGGAACCAAGAAGAGACAGGCCUGAAUCCCUGGGCCGUCGGAGAACCCCAAGCAGCAGGGGCUCGCUGGUGGAACAAAGGGCCUCCCGACAUGUGUGAGGGCUGUGUUUUGUCGACUAGGUAUCACAUUCCAGCCACAGCAUGACAGACAAAUGUCAGGCCAGAUGAGGAGAUGCAAUCUGCUCGACCAAAUGCAUCUUUACCUUGCUCAUGUGGUGGGAGCAGAUGCUGACUCAAUACGGGUGCAGGUGCAGAAAAAAAAAAGGAGGAAAGCCCAGACACUGAGGCAAAGUGCUGUGAAAGCCCAGAGCCUCCAGGGAGGCUCACUUUUCCACAUUAUUGAUCCAAACUUCUAUGUGUCAUAGAUCUUGUCUAUGCUUUACCUUGUUGAAGCUUUCUGGCAGAGGAAGCCUGAGGGAAUCUUUGACAUCUGGAAACUGAAGGCCAUUAUACAAAUACCAGUCUUUCUACUCCCCUCCUUGUGAGAUGAACCUGAAGAGUCCCCCGUCAUUUGUGGCUGCCACAUUCACCCUUGAUGAUAGGACUGUCUUUAUGCUGCUGGGUGUCCUUGAAAGGGUGCUAAGGGGAGACUGCCUCAGUUAGGCAGGGCUGGUGAGCUCCUUACUCCUGACCUCUCCUACUGACACAGGAAACUUGACUUUGCUUAUUAAGGAAGCCCAAGCUUGUGUCACACAGGAGUUUUAACAUUGUGCCCUGAACCUUGAAAAUGGCCAGUGUCAACCUUACUAAAUAGUUCUUGAGAUGAGAGUUCUGAAAUUUCCUGAUUAUUGUUGUUUUUCCAAACAUCAUUUAUUGACAUCUGUUAGUGUGCCAUGUGUUCAGAUGGCAAACGUUGACAUCUGGUUAUCCACGGGGACACUAAUAUGCCUCCUUCUGCAACUCCUUUUUCUUCUUCUU